GAAGUGGGUCUAGGGAUUUCUUUCACUUCCUGCAUACUUAUAUAUAUUUUUAAUUUCAUUCCCGAAUCAAGCCUUACGUACAUAAGAAAAUAGCUCAGAAGGAAAGGCCUGGUUCUGAUCUUACUUACACAGGUGUAAAUCAGGAGCAACUCUUCCAAACUGUCUGCAAUGGGAAUGACUUCCAGGCUGGUGUAUCUUGAUUAGUGCAGUAGACAAAAGGCAGUUUCCAUUCAGUGAUCAGAGUAUUGUUCGAGUCUGCUUGAUUGAGACUUUAAGCUCUUUGAUGAAUGUGGGUGCUUGGAACAGCAGAAGAGGUUCCUGAGGUCUGCCUGAAGGAAAAUGAGUUAUUCCUCUACCUCUGAAGAAAUAAAAACAGAUCCUACCAGCCCUUUGCCAAAUGGACUUCUGUUUUUCUGAAGCACACAACAGCUGGAAUGAAGUUGGAAAGGAUAUUUGGAUUCCAAAGCCUGGAAUGCCUUGCUUCUGCUACUGUACAGUGGAAGCAGCUGCAUUUUGGAAUAUGGCCUUUCCUCAGGCAUGUACGUACACUCAGAUGUCUCAGAACAGCUAUUUUUGAGAGAGAGGUCUGCUCAAUAAGCUUCUGUGGAAACUUUGGAUGCAUUGGUGCUUAUAGGACCAGGAGAAGAACAGGGUCCAGGCUGUUAACAUCUUGUCCUGUGCUUUUUGCUGACUAGGGGAAUGCACUGCAUGUAACCAACAGUAGUCAUCUGCUAAAGGUGAGGGAAUAUAUGAAUCUGUGAGUGAGUUUGAAUUUUUUCCUCAAACGUUUCUAUCUUUUAUGGUUUGAAAUAAUUGUGAAGGAUUACUAAAACUCCAUGAUUAAGAGAAAGUUAGAAAGACUUUUAUUCCUUUACCUUGCUCAUAGGUUACUUUAGAUAGCUCAGCAAAGCUCAUAAUCAGGUUUCCAAGCUACUUUUGUUACUGUAGAGUUUCUGGAGUGCCAUGCCCUAGGAUAAGAGCAAGCAGCCUUUAAAGCUCCACAGUUAACUUUUAACAUCUGUCUGAUGCCAUUCAGUAUUAUUCUGAGAGUUUCAUUAUGCAAACCUGCAUCACACUUGCUGGGUAAAGGUAAAGUAGAAAGCAAAUCUUUAAUUCUUUCCACAUGAGUUGGUAAAGGAGAAAAAUGAAAUGAUGUAAUUUACCAAAACUCUGAUGUUUUAAUUUUUGGUAGUAGGAACAGCUGUGCCGUGCUGUUGUGCUAUGAAAUGAGAAUGCUGUCUGCCAGGCAGCACUCUUCACAUGUGCCAGUCCAGCAAUUGAUCUCAUUUAUGCUAUUCUGCACCCAGUGUCCCUUUCUCGGCUUUACUGAUGCUUAGCGAAUGGAGUAAGAGUUGAAUUUGCACCACUUCUGCAUCUCAAAUGUAACUUUCCACCUAUGUUUAAAAGUACAGAUCAUUUCUUCUGGAAAGCACUAUCAGUGCAAUUCACCCAGCCUAUCUUCCAUCAUUUACAAGCAUGUGUCUAGCAGAAAAUGAGUUCUGAAGAUCUAUUCCCAGAUUGAACUGUGGACACAGCAGUCUGCUAACAAUUGUUACCGCCCAUUCAGUUUUCCUUAUAGUUGUCAGUGGCUUUUACAUCAGCCCAUUUUCUCUAUUACCAGUGUCUGCUCUCCUUCUGUGGGAGGCAUUAGCAUAUUCAAAGCAUCUUCUUCUAUUGUUUUGUAAGAUGACCUUA
Molecule: long non-coding RNA, 1695 nt
Filed under: Anser cygnoides (Swan goose)
Lineage: Eukaryota; Metazoa; Chordata; Aves; Anseriformes; Anatidae
Description: lncRNA (ENSACDG00005006677.1)
Source: RNAcentral